This 464-nucleotide RNase P RNA is filed under the name Candidatus Dojkabacteria bacterium. Its description in RNAcentral is "RNase P RNA component class A". It matches the Rfam family "Bacterial RNase P class A". Rfam says of the family: Ribonuclease P (RNase P) is a ubiquitous endoribonuclease, found in archaea, bacteria and eukarya as well as chloroplasts and mitochondria. The record is from RNAcentral.
GGGGCCCAUUCAAAGAAUCGCGUUUGGGUCAAAAAGCAAUUUUACAACCCAGAUGAGGAAAGUCCGGACUCCAAGUGGUUCCGACAGUAUACAGCAAUGUUUACAGACUUUGAGAUUACAUCAAAAAGUAUCGGAAUAGACACCUUUAACUUGAAAGUAACUUGAAAACAUAGCAGGAAAAGCAAUUGGAUAGCUAGUGAGUAAAGGCUUUUAGGGUAUAGGCGGGGCGCAAGCUUCGGGAGAAAAGGGCAACAGAGAACAAACAGCCUUAGGGCUAGUUUAGCUAUAUGUACGUGAUAUAACUAAUGCUAGCUCUGGGUAAAGGUGAAAAGGUGGAGUAAGAGCCCACCGAUCCUGAUAGCAAUAUCAGGGUGCCGGCAACCCCUGUCUGGAGCAACCCUAAUUUAGGGGCAAUAGAUAAAUGAUUCUAUAAACAGAAUCCGGCUUAUGGAUGGACCCCCGUU